This 358-nucleotide unclassified non-coding RNA is filed under the name soil metagenome. RNAcentral's name for it is "partial contains 5.8S ribosomal RNA, internal transcribed spacer 2, and large subunit ribosomal RNA". The stretch from base 1 to 120 matches the Rfam family "5.8S ribosomal RNA", at positions 35 to 154 of the family's 154-position model. The record is from RNAcentral.
GAUGAAGAACGCAGCGAAAUGCGAUAAGUAAUGUGAAUUGCAGAAUUCAGUGAAUCAUCGAAUCUUUGAACGCACAUUGCGCCCGUCAGUAUUCUGGCGGGCAUGCCUGUUCGAGCGUCAUUACGCCCCUCAAGUCCCCUGUGGACUUGGUGUUGGGGAUCGGCGAGGCUGGUUUUCCAGCACAGCCGUCCCUUAAAUUAAUUGGCGGUCUCGCCGUGGCCCUCCUCUGCGCAGUAGUAAAACACUCGCAACAGGAGCCCGGCGCGGUCCACUGCCGUAAAACCCCCCAACUUUCUAUAGUUGACCUCGAAUCAGGUAGGACUACCCGCUGAACUUAAGCAUAUCAAUAAGCGGAGGA